Molecule: long non-coding RNA, 847 nt
Filed under: Canis lupus familiaris (dog)
Lineage: Eukaryota; Metazoa; Chordata; Mammalia; Carnivora; Canidae
Description: lncRNA (ENSCAFG00000050485.1)
Source: RNAcentral
UUUGUCUCUUUCUAUGCAGGGAAAGUGGAGACUCAGAGUGUUUAAGUGACCUGCCUAAGGCACGGAGCUGGCAGCAGAGGUUGGCCCACACCCCAGCUUCCGACUGUCGCUCUCUUCUACAGGUUCAUCGUUAAUAAAACUUGGUUUUCCAGCAUUUCGCUGCCCCAGGAGGGCAGUGGGCCCCCUGUCCAAUUCAUCAACUGCCUAAUGAGCGGCCCCGGAGGUCCCGGCCCGUCCAUUCCAGAAGCUCUCUCUGCCUUGUAAAGAGAAGGACCAGUACAAGGGGAAGUGGGUGCUGCUAGUGUUCUGGCCCAGGGUCUGGAUUCUGUCCUCUUCUGGAACAAUUUUUGUCGCCUCCCCCGCCCCACCCCCCAGCAGGCUCUCUUGCCUUCGCCAGCUUGUCAGGACGCUGCCAGCUUUGGGCGUGGCACCCCGUCAGCCCCAACAUGGUGGGAGAGCUGGGAUCUGAGCCCACGAGCUCGGGGACACAGCCGCCCACCUCGAGCCCAGAAGAGCAGGAGCGCAGAGGGGCGGUUAUGCUUACGGUGCCUGCAGGACAAGACAAAGUGGAAAGCUGCUCUUUGUCACCCACCCGGCCCCGAUGGCAGCUAACAGACCUCAUCCACACAAUUGGCUGGGACUCGACUCCCUUGUAACACCAGGUCCCUCUUCUGCAGUCUCUGUGCACUCGUGGAGGAGCAGUGUGGAGGGUCUCUGAGGCCAGGGGGAGCACCAGCAUCAGCCAGCACCUCCGUUCUUCGACAGAGGGAAGACGCGAUUGCGUGGCUCUCAGCAGUGACAUCAGAGUGUCCACGUGCCCCCGACCGUGUGCCCCAGCUGUAUGCAU